This 1249-nucleotide ribosomal RNA is filed under the name metagenome. RNAcentral's name for it is "SSU rRNA". It matches the Rfam family "Eukaryotic small subunit ribosomal RNA", at positions 542 to 1783 of the family's 1831-position model. The record is from RNAcentral.
UAUCCAUUGGAGGGCAAGUCUGGUGCCAGCAGCUGCGGUAAUACCAGCUCCAAUAGCGUAUAUUAAAGUUGUUGCAGUUAAAAAGCUCGUAGUUGGACUUGUGUGCGCUGUCCGCGGGUGGCCUGCGCCCAAAAAGGGCGUUUCGGUUCGGCCCCGGUGGCGCCUUGAAAUCUGCAGCUGGGGGGACGUUGGCCUUAACUGGUCGGCGACCGCACGCCGGCUGCUCGGUUACUGUGAGAGAAUUAGAGUGUUCAAGGCAGGCAUUGGGUGCAAUUGAAUACAUUAGCAUGGAAUAAUAAAAUAUGGCUCCUGCCGUAUUUUGUUGGUUUUGACUGGUGGGAGUAAUGAUUGAUAGGGACGGUUGGGGGUGCUAGUAUUGAGCGGCCAGAGGUGAAAUUCAUGGAUUCGCUCAAGACUAACUUAUGCGAAAGCAUUCACCAAGGACGUCCUCUUUAAUCAAGAACGAAAGUUGGGGGAUCGAAGACGAUCAGAUACCGUCGUAGUCUCAACCAUAAACUAUGUCGACUUGGGAUCGGCGGUAGUUUUUUCAUUAAGACACUGUCGGGACCACGGGAGAAAUCAAAGUGUCUGGACUCUGGGGGAAGUAUGGUCGCAAGGCUGAAACUUGAAGGAAUUGACGGAAGGGCACCACCAGGAGUGGAGCCUGCGGCUUAAUUUGACCCAACACGGGGAAACUUACCAGGUCCAGAGAUGUAGAGGAUUGACAGAUUGAAGCUCUUUCUUGAUCACUUCGGUGGUGGUGCAUGGCCGUUCUUAGUUGGUGGAGUGAUUUGUCUGGUUAAUUCCGUUAACGAACGAGACCUCAGCCUGCUAGUGUAGUCGGCUGGAUUGCCUUUGGCGAUCCGUGAUUUCGACUUCUUAGAGGGACAAUCGACGCGCAGUCGAUGGAAGUUUGAGGCAAUAACAGGUCUGUGAUGCCCUUAGAUGUUCUGGGCCGCACGCGCGCUACACUGCUGGGCUCAGCGAGUUUUACUUGGCCGAGAGGCCCGGUUAAUCUUGUGAAAUCCCAGCGUGCUUGGGCUCGCCUCCUGCAACUGGAGGCGCCAACGAGGAAUCCCUAGUAGACGCAGGUCAUCAACCUGCAUCGAUUACGUCCCUGCCCUUUGUACACACCGCCCGUCGUUCCAUAAGAGUGAGGCAUCCGGUGAAUUCUCGGGAGAGCCUGGGCGUGGCCAGCAAUGGUCUGCUCGGGUUUGAACUUGCAUAAACUUGGUGCCUAUGAUUAGGG